This 253-nucleotide ribosomal RNA is filed under the name uncultured bacterium. Its description in RNAcentral is "partial 16S ribosomal RNA". It matches the Rfam family "Bacterial small subunit ribosomal RNA", at positions 524 to 776 of the family's 1533-position model. The record is from RNAcentral.
UACGUAGGGGGCUAGCGUUGUUCGGAAUCACUGGGCGUAAAGCGUACGUAGGCGGCUCGUUACGUCAGGGGUGAAAGCCUGGAGCUCAACUCCAGAACUGCCUUUGAUACUGGCGAUCUUGAGACCGGGAGAGGUGAGUGGAACUGCUAGUGUAGAGGUGAAAUUCGUAGAUAUUAGCAAGAACACCAGUGGCGAAGGCGGCUCACUGGCCCGGUACUGACGCUGAGGUACGAAAGCGUGGGGAGCAAACAGG